Molecule: ribosomal RNA, 452 nt
Filed under: uncultured bacterium
Lineage: Bacteria
Description: bacterial SSU rRNA
Rfam family: Bacterial small subunit ribosomal RNA
Source: RNAcentral
GGACCCGCACAAGCGGUGGAUUAUGUGGUUUAAUUCGACGAUAAGCGAGGAACCUUACCUGGGCUCAACUACUAGCUGCAUUGGGGCAGAAACGUCCCAAGCCUUCGAGGGUGCUAGAUAGGUGCUGCAUGGUUGCCGUCAGCUCGUGCCGUGAGGUGUACCGUUAAGUCGGGAAACGAGCGCAACCCACGUCGUAUGUUAAAUUGUACAUACGAGACUGCCUGCGCAAGCAGGAGGAAGGGGUGGAUGACGUCAAAUCAGCAUGGCUCUUACGUCCAGGGCUACACACAUAAUACAAUGGCCGGUACAGAGGGUUGCUAAGUCGCGAGAUGGAGCUAAUCCCAUCAAAACCGGCCCCAGUUCAGAUUGUAGGCUGCAACUCGCCUACAUGAAGUUGGAAUCGCUAGUAAACGCAUAUCAGCCACGGUGCGUUGAAUACGUUCUCGGGUCUU